Molecule: ribosomal RNA, 387 nt
Filed under: uncultured bacterium
Lineage: Bacteria
Description: bacterial SSU rRNA
Rfam family: Bacterial small subunit ribosomal RNA
Source: RNAcentral
GACGAACGCUGGCGGCGUGCUUAACACAUGCAAGUCGAGCGGUAAGGCCCUUUCGGGGGUACACGAGCGGCGAACGGGUGAGUAACACGUGGGUGACCUGCCCUCAGCUCUGGGAUAAGCCUGGGAAACCGGGUCUAAUACCGGAUAUGACUCCAUGACGCAUGUUGUGGGGUGGAAAGCCUUGUGCGGCUGAGGAUGGGCCCGCGGCCUAUCAGCUUGUUGGUGGGGUGAUGGCCUACCAAGGCGACGACGGUAGCCGGCCUGAGAGGGCGACCGGCCACACUGGGACUGAGACACGGCCCAGACUCCUACGGGAGGCAGCAGUGGGGAAUCUUGCGCAAUGGGCGAAAGCCUGACGCAGCGACGCCGCGUGAGGGAUGACGGCCU